Chrysemys picta bellii (western painted turtle) is the source of this 959-nucleotide non-coding RNA. Lineage: Eukaryota; Metazoa; Chordata; Testudines; Emydidae. The record is from RefSeq and is a predicted model, not a curated record.
GCUUGACCUCCCUGUCACUAAGGUGUGCGUCUCCGAGGCCCUCUGGGUCUCUUGGCCUCGUGCUGUCUUCACAGCCUGCUGCCAACGACCACCCUGUAAUCAGGGAUCGGGUCUUUGCCCUCUAGUCUCUUGGCACUUGGCCAAAUGCAGCCACUGCCCUGAAUGAGCACCCUGUAAACAGGGUACAGGUCUCAUGUGCUACUAUUUCUGGCGCCCCCAUGAGACUGUGUCCAGAGUUCCGGCCCUUCCAACAGCGCUUCCAUCUUGCCUGGAAUUCUGCUGCCAAAUCUCCUGCUUUCUACUCACUUUUUGGACUCUUGGAGACCUGACAUGCUAUCGGUGGCAUCAUGAAGCAGAAGUGGAGAAGAAGGCCUAACUUGUGUAUUUCUCACACAUUUCUAAAAGGAAGCUGGCAACUGGCAGUUACUCUCCGCACUUCACAACUUUCAAACAGCUACUCUACUUAAACGGUCACACCAACCAAAGUGUACCACACAUUCAAAAUUAACUUUGCACCUAUUGUGUCAGAAGUGAGAGUGUUUUUAGUAGUUGUGUCCAUUGGUGGAAGUGGCAGUAGUGGUGUUUUAGUAGUCUUUUACGCUUAUUGAAUUCAAAGGAUGAUGAUGUGGAUGUUUUAGGUAGGUAUUUUUCUGUUAAGUCUUGGUAUUUGGGUAGAGGUGCAGUAUUUUGUGAUUAUGACUGUUUUUCUGGUAUUGGUUUAGUGUGAAUUGUUGGCAAUUUUAGAUGUUUUUGUAUCCGUACAUUAGUAGAUGUCUUUAGAGGGCAAAGCUGAGGUUGCCUGCUUGGUGCAAUUUGGUUGGUGUGAAAGUUAAUUUCGGGUAGGUGUUUGAAAGCACUGAGGUUUGAAUUUUUAGCUCAACAGGGAUGCAGGACCCACCUGGCUACCUCAGUUCUUACUGUCAUUCCUAAUUCCAAAAUCUUGGAUGAAGAUGACCAGG